AAAUUGAAGAGUUUGAUCAUGGCUCAGAUUGAACGCUGGCGGCAGGCCUAACACAUGCAAGUCGAACGGUAACAGGAAGAAGCUUGCUUCUUUGCUGACGAGUGGCGGACGGGUGAGUAAUGUCUGGGAAACUGCCUGAUGGAGGGGGAUAACUACUGGAAACGGUAGCUAAUACCGCAUAACGUCGCAAGACCAAAGAGGGGGACCUUCGGGCCUCUUGCCAUCGGAUGUGCCCAGAUGGGAUUAGCUAGUAGGUGGGGUAACGGCUCACCUAGGCGACGAUCCCUAGCUGGUCUGAGAGGAUGACCAGCCACACUGGAACUGAGACACGGUCCAGACUCCUACGGGAGGCAGCAGUGGGGAAUAUUGCACAAUGGGCGCAAGCCUGAUGCAGCCAUGCCGCGUGUAUGAAGAAGGCCUUCGGGUUGUAAAGUACUUUCAGCGGGGAGGAAGGGAGUAAAGUUAAUACCUUUGCUCAUUGACGUUACCCGCAGAAGAAGCACCGGCUAACUCCGUGCCAGCAGCCGCGGUAAUACGGAGGGUGCAAGCGUUAAUCGGAAUUACUGGGCGUAAAGCGCACGCAGGCGGUUUGUUAAGUCAGAUGUGAAAUCCCCGGGCUCAACCUGGGAACUGCAUCUGAUACUGGCAAGCUUGAGUCUCGUAGAGGGGGGUAGAAUUCCAGGUGUAGCGGUGAAAUGCGUAGAGAUCUGGAGGAAUACCGGUGGCGAAGGCGGCCCCCUGGACGAAGACUGACGCUCAGGUGCGAAAGCGUGGGGAGCAAACAGGAUUAGAUACCCUGGUAGUCCACGCCGUAAACGAUGUCGACUUGGAGGUUGUGCCCUUGAGGCGUGGCUUCCGGAGCUAACGCGUUAAGUCGACCGCCUGGGGAGUACGGCCGCAAGGUUAAAACUCAAAUGAAUUGACGGGGGCCCGCACAAGCGGUGGAGCAUGUGGUUUAAUUCGAUGCAACGCGAAGAACCUUACCUGGUCUUGACAUCCACGGAAGUUUUCAGAGAUGAGAAUGUGCCUUCGGGAACCGUGAGACAGGUGCUGCAUGGCUGUCGUCAGCUCGUGUUGUGAAAUGUUGGGUUAAGUCCCGCAACGAGCGCAACCCUUAUCCUUUGUUGCCAGCGGUCCGGCCGGGAACUCAAAGGAGACUGCCAGUGAUAAACUGGAGGAAGGUGGGGAUGACGUCAAGUCAUCAUGGCCCUUACGACCAGGGCUACACACGUGCUACAAUGGCGCAUACAAAGAGAAGCGACCUCGCGAGAGCAAGCGGACCUCAUAAAGUGCGUCGUAGUCCGGAUUGGAGUCUGCAACUCGACUCCAUGAAGUCGGAAUCGCUAGUAAUCGUGGAUCAGAAUGCCACGGUGAAUACGUUCCCGGGCCUUGUACACACCGCCCGUCACACCAUGGGAGUGGGUUGCAAAAGAAGUAGGUAGCUUAACUUUCGGGAGGGCGCUUACCACUUUGUGAUUCAUGACUGGGGUGAAGUCGUAACAAGGUAACCGUAGGGGAACCUGCGGUUGGAUCACCUCCUUA
This 1542-nucleotide ribosomal RNA is filed under the name Escherichia coli. Its description in RNAcentral is "bacterial SSU rRNA". It matches the Rfam family "Bacterial small subunit ribosomal RNA". The record is from RNAcentral. Lineage: Bacteria; Pseudomonadati; Pseudomonadota; Gammaproteobacteria; Enterobacterales; Enterobacteriaceae.